Molecule: long non-coding RNA, 836 nt
Organism: Ananas comosus (pineapple)
Lineage: Eukaryota; Viridiplantae; Streptophyta; Magnoliopsida; Poales; Bromeliaceae
Exons: 3
Source: RefSeq, a predicted model, not a curated record
ACUAAAGUGUGCCUAAGACACGCUACAUUUAGUCCCAACUACCCCAAAUAUUGUUGGCUGAGAAAUCCUUUCAAAGUUUUGUCAUUCUCUUCCUUGUCCCUAUAUUUAUUUUCUUCUCCCUCUUUUUCUCUGCUAUGAACUCCUUAUGCAGGCGCCAAGUUGCAGCCAGCAGCAUUGGAGCAACAACAAUAGUAUUUGGAGGAGAUCCUCACAGCAAUAGCAACAAUUGAAGAAUUGAAUCAAAUUGCUGUUGCUGUUGCCAGCAAGCUGAGAUUGCAGCGCAGCAACAACAGAUGUUUGUUGGGGGAGCCUUGCAGGAGGACAUUGUAUGACUGGGCCUGAUUGUUGACCCCCUCAUCUCCUCACCCUUUAUGUUUUCACCAAUUUCUCAGUUGCAUCCAGAGAAGAAGCUUCUAACUGAGCCAUACCUUCAGCUGCAGCAACAAGACUACCAGCAACCUUGUUGCAGCUUGGCAGCAAGACAAGUAGGAAGAGGGAAGCAAUUGGAUGAUCCUCUGAAGCUCCAAUUUCAAAAUUGAGCACUUGUGUUGUGUGGGGAAGUUGUGAACUAGCUUGCACCUUCCUUGAGCUAGAAUUGCAGGAGCGAAGCUUUGGAAGAGUUGGGAGUGAUCUUGACUUUAUCCUCUAGUGGUUAGAGUGUUGUUUGGAUAAAUUAAGAGGUAAGAUGAGUGAGAAUUUCAGUUUUCAUUGAGGUCAUAAAUCAAAAAAUAGUUUUUACGUUGAAGCUGAAUUCUUGACCUCUAUUUCUUAAUGUUAUUGGAAUUUGGCGGUGAAUUGUGAAUUUUUAUUGUAGUCUAGAAAUCAAAGAUUACUCA